AUGGGCAACGGCGGCGGCGCCAACGUGGUGGCGCCCGGCUACACCAAGGGCUCCGGCCUCGGCGCCGAGAUCAUCGGCACCUUCGUCCUCGUCUACACCGUCUUCUCCGCCACCGACGCCAAGAGGAACGCCAGGGACUCUUACGUUCCGAUCCUCGCCCCGCUGCCAAUCGGGUUCGCGGUGUUCCUGGUCCACCUGGCCACCAUCCCCAUCACCGGCACCGGCAUCAACCCAGCGAGGAGCCUCGGCGCGGCCAUCAUCUACAACAGGGAGCACGCCUGGUCAGACCACUGGAUCUUCUGGGUCGGCCCCUUCAUCGGCGCUGCGCUGGCCGCCGUCUACCACCAGGUGGUCAUCAGAGCCAUCCCGUUCAAGACCAAGUCCUAA
This 387-nucleotide ribosomal RNA is filed under the name Triticum aestivum (bread wheat). RNAcentral describes it as "partial small subunit ribosomal RNA". The record is from RNAcentral. Lineage: Eukaryota; Viridiplantae; Streptophyta; Magnoliopsida; Poales; Poaceae.